Molecule: non-coding RNA, 110 nt
Organism: Acanthosepion pharaonis
Lineage: Eukaryota; Metazoa; Mollusca; Cephalopoda; Sepiida; Sepiidae
Source: the annotation of a GenBank genome assembly
ACCCACAUCAUGUUGAAACACUGGUUCCUGUACAAUCAAUGAAGUUAAGCAACAUUGAGCCUGGCCAGUACUGAGAUAGGUGACUGCUUGAGAAUACCAGGUGCUGUAAG